Molecule: ribosomal RNA, 206 nt
Filed under: uncultured bacterium
Lineage: Bacteria
Description: partial 16S ribosomal RNA
Rfam family: Bacterial small subunit ribosomal RNA
Source: RNAcentral
AGCGUAGGCGGAUUUUUAAGUGAGAUGUGAAAUACUCGGGCUUAACCUGAGUGCUGCAUUUCAAACUGGAAGUCUAGAGUGCAGGAGAGGAGAAGGGAAUUCCUAGUGUAGCGGUGAAAUGCGUAGAGAUUAGGAAGAACACCAGUGGCGAAGGCGCUUCUCUGGACUGUAACUGACGUUGAGGCUGAAAGCGUGGGGAGCAAACA